Acipenser ruthenus (sterlet) is the source of this 5254-nucleotide RNA transcript. It is a transcript of the gene named DNA-directed RNA polymerase III subunit RPC7-like, with no coding region annotated. The record is from RefSeq and is a predicted model, not a curated record. NCBI's taxonomy places the organism in Eukaryota, Metazoa, Chordata, Actinopteri, Acipenseriformes, Acipenseridae. The transcript has 9 exons.
UAAAUGACUGAUGCAGUAUAAUAAUUCAUGCAAAUAUUACUUCCCUUGGUUAAUAUUACUCAGAAUUAGAAACGAAUUAGAAACAGUUUUUCUCAGCCUGUUGAACCCGGAACAGAUUGCGGUAGAACUUUUGUUUCAGGCAGGAUGAAUAACAACAGAACACCGACACAGUGGUGCCACGUGGUGAUACGGAGAAAAGAUCUCUGUUAUGUUGGCACUCCCCUAGCGGAGCAAUGGCUGGGAGAGGAAGAGGCAGAGGCAGGGGUCAGGUGACCUUUAACAUGGAGGCUGUAGGGAUUGGGAAGGGAGAUGUCCUUCCUCCACCCACCCUCCAACCCACCCCACUGUUCCCACCCAUGGAGUACAAGCCAGUGCCGCUGCAGCCAGGAGAGGAGGCGGAGUACAUGCUGGCACUGAAGCAAGAGCUCCGUGGGGCCAUGAGGAGCCUGCCCUACUUUGUCAAACCUGCAGCCCCAAAGAAAGAUGUGGAACGUUAUUCCGACAAAUACCAGAGUUCAGAACCGACCGACAAUACCAUUGAAUGGAAUCCAGAUUGGAGAAGGCUGCCCAGGGAGAUGAGAAUUCGGGUGAGAAAGCCGCUGAAGGAGAAGGCUCUUGUAGGUGUCCCCAAACGCAAGCAGCAGACUCGUGUAGACAAGGAGGAGAUCAUCCGCAAAUUGGAGACACUAGAGAAGAAGGAGGAGGAGGUAAGCUCAGAGGAAGAGGAGGAGGAGAAGAAGAAGAAACAGGAGGAAGAAGAGCAGGAGAACGAGGAGGAAUACGACGAGGAGGAGUUUGAGGAGGAGACUGAUUACAUCAUGUCCUACUUCGAUAACGGGGAGGAGUUUGGAGGAGACAGUGAUGAUAACAUGGAUGAGGCCAUUUACUGAGGCCCCAUCCCUGCAGGAGUGCUGCUGCUCUGCAGAUCGAAAGCACAAACGUUACCCCUGCUUUGCGGCGCUGCACAUGUCCACAGCAGAGCUCCAAGGACACAGGGGUGUUAUGGACCAAAGAACUCUGAGGACAGCCUGGUUUUUGCAGACUGAUGGCAGCUGCACGAUGUUGGAAAGUGAGGUGAAAUUAGGUAGAAUGGCACAGGUGAGACACAGACCUUCCCCUCACAGCUCUUCAAGCAAGCACUCCUCAGCUCUGACUUGAACAGCCCUGCCUGCCACCCAGGCCUGGGCUUUCUGAAGCAGUGACAACUGUGCUAUGCUUUGUGGGCUUUUGCUAUGCGGAUUACCCUGAUGUGCACUGGGGCUGUGAACUAUCAAACUUAAUCAGGAUUCAAAGCCAAGCCUGCACAGUUGAAACUCUAAUGAGUGAGCGCACAGCGUCUCCUACAGUAGAUAUAAUGCGGUGCUCGGAUGCUUAUUGGUAAAUGCUUUUUUAAAAAUGUUCUUCAGUCUUCUGUUGACAGGUUUGCAAUGUUUGAUCUAUUGUAGCUCUGUGUGUUUUCCACAAACCCAGGACUGACAUGUGAUUCCACUAGUUCUGCAGGAUAUUCUAUAGAUUGCUUGCACAGUUUUUAUUACCUCGUCAAAUAGUUGGUAACUUGACACCAGCCGCUGUGCUGUGCCGAAGGCGUUCUUCACACGCUGAAUUUCAAAACACCAUUGUACCUGCACGGUACAUCAUUUCACAGGUGCAACAGAGAAGGAGAAGUGAGUAAUGGGCAGCAGUGUGGAGUAGUGGUUAGGGCUCUGGACUCUUGACCGGAGGGUAGUGGGUUCAAUCCCUAGGGGGGACACCGCUGCUGUACCCUUGAGCAAGGUACUUUACCUAGAUUGCUCCAGUAAAAACCCAACUGUAUAAAUGGGUAAUUGUAUGAAAAACUUUGCUUGGUGUGACUUUUUUCUACAUUGCUCCCUUAUUCUCCAAUAAAAAUAAAGAACUGAAAGCAUGGUGACAAAUGGCAAAAACAAAACUGGUAAAUUGCACAGUAUAAACAUGGAUGCAGGCUUUUGGUGCAGUUGCAGUUUUUUUUUUUAUUCAACCCUUUUUUUUCUGAAGGGAAUAUGUUCAGCUUACUGAGGGUUUAAUAGUUAUGGAUGAUUAAAAAAACAAACCCAGAAACAGCUGUGAAGGGACUUCCCUUCCCCCAGCAACUGCUCGGGGGCCUGUCCUGUCACUCACACUUGUUUUUCUCUCCAGUCCACAGAAGCGAUCUGCAGUACGUGCUGAAAGCUAUGCAGGGGUGGGGCUUGUAUAGCAAGGGAGCAGGUUGUCUCCACCCUCCAAACCGUGCUAGUCUCUCCUGUUGUCUGCUGUUUCACUUCUCAAGUUGGGUCUGGCUCAUUGCCAGACUUUCAUAUACAUCAGUACAAAGUGUCCCAGGACGCUUCCUAGUGUUUACCUUCCGGCGUUGUCCAAAUCGCAGCAAUGUUUUUUCAGCAUUUUCAGUAAUGUUAAAGCUGACAGUAAUGUUGUUGAAGCUGACAGUAAUGUUGUUGAAACUGACACCCUGGGAUCCUUCAAGAAGCUGCUUGAUGAGAUUCUGGGAUCAAUAAGCUACUAACAACCAAACGAGCAAGAUGGGCUGAAUGGCCUCCUCUCGUUUGUAAACUUUCUUAUGUUCUUAUGUUAUUAUUAUUAUUAUUAUUAGUUUAUUUAGCAGACGCCUUUAUCCAAGGCGACUUACAGAGACUAGGGUGUGUGAACUAUGCAUCAGCUGCAGAGUCACUUACAACUACGUCUCACCUGAAAGACGGAGCACAAGGAGGUUAAGUGACUUGCUCAGGGUCACACAAUGAGUCAGUGGCUGAGGUGGGAUUUGAACAGGGGGCCUCCUGGUUACAAGCGCUUUUCUUUAACCACUGGACCACACAGCCUCCUGUUCUUAUAUUCCCAGUUGUUUCGAUAUUUGUUUUUUCACACAUCAAAGGUAACCUAGGGAAUUUUUUUCUGUCAGCUUUUUACUUGGGAACACUUGCCAGGAGAAAGAGAAUUUCUCUUCUUAACAUCGCAGUGUAUCCAGAUCACGCUUCCUCCUGGUGAGUGGUGUGUUGAGGCAUGCUUAUUGGAGGGAGAGUGAUCUGGGUACACUGCAAUCCUUACAAGGCAUUGUGACGGGGGACUGCCCCGUCUUUAUGAACGUGGUUGGGACUGGCAGGGAGGGGGUUAAAUUCCUCCCUGCCAGGAAAACAUGUGAGAAUGUGGCUGGAGCCCUAAUUGAAUAAUCAGCAAUUAUUGAUUAAUUGGGCUCCAGCCACAGGGCAUAAAAGCCAGGGGAGAAGCCCUGGCUAGAGAGAGAGUUCUAGAGGAGAAGAAGCAACAACAACUGUGUUUGUCUGUGUGUGUCUGUGUGUGCUGUUUUUGUAAGUUUUUUGAAUCCAGUGAAGGCAACGCCCAGCCUGGAAGGCUUAUUUUGUAAGUUUUGUUUUGUGUGCUUAUUGUCUAUUAGUUUUGUUUAGAAACCUUUUUGUUUGGCCCUUGUGCCUGUUUAUUUUGUAUUUUUGUGAAUUAAAAACUUUAUUUUUGAACUUUCAAACUGUCUCUGAGCCUCACCCUCUGCCAAUCCUGCCACAGGCAUAUAUUUUUCUUCUGGUGAACGCUUCCUAGUGAAUGUUGAUUUAUGAUCCAUGAUCAUGUAAAAUGUUUAACAUAUAAGGAAAGUAAUACUUUUCUGUACAGUGGAGUGUGUUUAUUUAUUUAGACGUGUUUUAUGCAUUGGUCUUCUAUGCGUGAUAUCUUUUUGAUGCAGCCAUUUAUAAAUUCUGUUGUAUGAACCAAUAUGAAAGCAUGUCAUUUUUGCUACUGAAUGUAUUUCAAGCAGUUGUAAUUCCAAUGGCCAUGCACGCAGAAGGGUAGUCACAAUGGUAGAAUGGUACAGUGGUAACAUGUUCUGCUUGGGUUCUGUGUAAUGUUAUUCUAAGGGGAUAUGAAUGGGAUAGUGCACCAGGUUACAGUAUCGGUUUUGAAACACAGGGUUAACUGCGCUUCACUUGGGAUGGAUCUGCUAAUAUAACACAUCAGCAGCAGCUAUUCAGGGAAGAACUCUGUGGAGCCUUGUUAUGGCUUCUGUUUGACUUGUAGGGCUUUCUGUGUUACCAGGAAAGGGUAGCUCCUUAAUUAUAUAGACAGGAUUACAUUACAUCAAGCAAGCGUUGUGCCAAGGAGAGGGUAGCUACUUCAUUUUAUACAGACAGGAUUACAUUACACCCAGCUUGUGCUGUGCCAAGCCCGCAUUCAGCAAACGCUGUACAUUUCUCACCAAUAGGGUAAGAUAUUGCAGUCUCACAGACUUGCAGCUACUUAUACAAAGCCAUACUGUCGAACCCUUUUAAUAUCACUUCAGAGAGACUGAGCAUUAAUUGCGACAAGAAGAGGAGUUGACUUUAUCAGGUGUACCAGAUGUUUUCAAAUGAAAAUACAUGUUUGCUAAACCAUGUGUUUCUUUCAGAACUGCACAUUUGAGAACUAUAAUGAAUGGAUGUGCAUGGCAGAGAAAAUAUUUUGAAAGCUUCAGUUACUUUAAUGCUUAUAAUCUUAUGCUUCUUUUAGGAAGUGAUGGUAAGUGACUCCUGUUAUAUUCAGGCCAGGAGAUUUCGAUGUGGUUUGGGACUCAUUUGACUGCUAAUAAGAAGCUUGACAUUGUUUUGCCUCUCCAAGCAGGUUCAGACUGCAACAUUCAGGACUGUCAAAUUCAGGAACCGUCCCAAGAGUGAGUAAUGGUAUAGAAUAGGAUAAUUACAAAACCUCUCAGUACUGUCGUCUGUGCGAUUGCAUAAGGCAGCCGUCAUGCAGUGUUUUUUUAUUGCAAUAAAACCUGUUUAAUCUGGCAUUGCUUGGGACCGGAAAAUUGUGUUGGAUUAUACAGUGCGGUGGAUUACAGAGCUGCUGUAAAAUCUAAUACUGUACCUUAAAAAAAAACAGUUUGAACAGUUUUAAAAAAACAAUUGCAGUAUAUACAGUACAAGUAGUUCAAGGAUUGUUUCAAUUUUACUUUCUCCAUCAUGUAAUUUAUUUUAUUGUAGAUGUACAAAUACAGCAGGUCAGAUAUAUUAUUAACAACAUACUUAUUUAUUAAUUUAGAAUAGAAAAAAUCACAGGAUUUACAAAUCCUGCUGGAUUCCAGAAUGGGCAGGUUCUGGAUUAUAGAGGGUGUCACAGCAUGCAUUUCAAUAGGGAUUUGGACGGCACCCAAAAUAUGAUACCAGAUUAUACAGAAUGAUAAUGUUUGCUUUCAAAACUGCACUUUUAAGACCUCUAUAACGAACGGAAAUGUACGGCAGUAAAGAUUUUUGGAAUUAUU